ACGUCUGGGUUUGUACAUCACUGCCUGAAGAGUACUCAGCCAGCUGUGGGAAGUCCAGGAGGAAGCAAAGAGAGACCUGAGAGCUCAAACAACCCUCAAGAAAGGAGGAAAGAUCGUGAGGAUGACAAAGGGCUUUUGGCAGACAAAUGGGUCCUGUGGGGGGAUCCUGAGGUGUGUUUGGAGAUGGACUUGUGGACCUUCUGCUGUGUCUGAGUUUCCCAUGGUGUAUCACUGGCAUUUGCUGGCUCAUGUGGAGACUGAGAUGCUGUCUGGGCGAAGAGAGGAGCAAUUUUUUAUGUUGAAAUUGAAAUGGAGUGUCAACUGAAGAAAACUAAGAGGUUCCAGGCAGAACUGCAGCCCAGAACUGCAGGAGAAAGGCUUUUAUUGAGGAAUGAAGCAAAAUAGGGAGUGAAGAGCAAGGGGCAUGGCAAGGACUCAAGCUGGAGUCUAAUACUUUAUUUUUGUCAAAGCUGGGGGUAGUUUUGCCUUUCACUUAGAACAAAAGCCAGUCCCCAAAAUCCAGAGGGAAAACCCCUCCAAACUUCCCUGUAGGUGUGUCACCCUACAUUACAUGGUGCUGACAUUACCUGGUAUAGAUUUG
Molecule: long non-coding RNA, 601 nt
Organism: Lepidothrix coronata (blue-crowned manakin)
Lineage: Eukaryota; Metazoa; Chordata; Aves; Passeriformes; Pipridae
Exons: 4
Source: RefSeq, a predicted model, not a curated record